Molecule: ribosomal RNA, 526 nt
Filed under: uncultured bacterium
Lineage: Bacteria
Description: bacterial SSU rRNA
Rfam family: Bacterial small subunit ribosomal RNA
Source: RNAcentral
AGAGUUUGAUCCUGGCUCAGGAUGAACGCUAGCGACAGGCCUAACACAUGCAAGUCGAGGGGCAGCACAGAUAGCAAUAUUGGGUGGCGACCGGCGCACGGGUGAGUAACGCGUAUGCAACCUACCUACUACAAGAGGAUAACCCGUUGAAAGGCGGACUAAUACUCUAUAAGACAGGGGAUCCGCAUGGAUAUAUUUGUUAAAGAUUAAUUGGUAGUAGAUGGGCAUGCGUUCCAUUAGCUUGUUGGUGAGGUAACGGCUCACCAAGGCAACGAUGGAUAGGGGAACUGAGAGGUUGAUCCCCCACACUGGAACUGAGACACGGUCCAGACUCCUACGGGAGGCAGCAGUGGGGAAUAUUGCACAAUGGGCGCAAGCCUGAUGCAGCCAUGCCGCGUGUAUGAAGAAGGCCUUCGGGUUGUAAAGUACUUUCAGCGAGGAGGAAGGCGUUGUAGUUAAUAACUGCAGCGAUUGACGUUACUCGCAGAAGAAGCACCGGCUAACUCCGUGCCAGCAGCCGCGGUAA